Nicotiana attenuata is the source of this 83-nucleotide small nucleolar RNA. It matches the Rfam family "Small nucleolar RNA SNORD34". From Rfam's summary of the family: snoRNA U34 is found in intron 5 of the ribosomal protein L13a gene in humans. Lineage: Eukaryota; Viridiplantae; Streptophyta; Magnoliopsida; Solanales; Solanaceae. The record is from Rfam.
CAAGACCUAUGAUGGAAUAAGAUAAUAUGCCUACAUUGUCUGAUCAUUAUAACUUGAUUAAGCAAAUAUGGACUGAGGCCUUG